UAACUCNNCAUAAAGCCAAUUUAAGGCAUCUUUAUUGAUUAAAGCUCCGGCGGUUAGAGAUGGGCAUGCGUGUCAUUAGCUAGUUGGUGAGGUAACGGCUCACCAAGAGCCACGAUGACUAGGGGGUCUGAGAGGAUGAUCCCCCACACUGGUACUGAGACACGGACCAGACUCCUACGGGAGGCAGCAUGUGAGGAAUAUUGGGCAAUGGACGCAAGUCUGACCCAGCCAUGCCGCGUGCAGGAUGACUGCCGCUAUGGGUUGUAAACUGCUUUUUGUUUGGGAAGAAACCCCCGAUCGUGAUCGGGGGUGACGGUACCAUACGAAUAAGCAUCGGCUAACUUCCGUGCCAGCAGCCGCGGUAAUACGGAGGAUGCAGCGUUAUCCGGAUUCAUUGGGUUUAAAGGGUGCGCAGGCGGAAUAUUAAGUCAGUGGUGAAAUCCUGCAGCUUAACUGUAGAAACUGCCAUUUGAUACUGAUAUUCUUGGAAAUAAUAGUUGAGGUGGGCGGAAUGUGUAAUGUAGCGGUGAAAUGCUUAGAUAUUACACAGAACACCAAUUGCGAAGGCAGCUCACUAAACUAAUAUUGACGCUGAGGGACGAAAGCGUGGGUAGCAAACAGGAUUAGAUACCCUGGUAGUCC
Molecule: ribosomal RNA, 642 nt
Filed under: uncultured organism
Description: bacterial SSU rRNA
Rfam family: Bacterial small subunit ribosomal RNA
Source: RNAcentral